This 441-nucleotide ribosomal RNA is filed under the name uncultured bacterium. RNAcentral's name for it is "partial 16S ribosomal RNA". It matches the Rfam family "Bacterial small subunit ribosomal RNA", at positions 338 to 795 of the family's 1533-position model. The record is from RNAcentral.
CCUACGGGAGGCUGCAGUAGGGAAUUUUGCGCAAUGGGCGAAAGCCUGACGCAGCAACGCCGCGUGAUUGAUUAAGUCCUUCGGGGUGUAAAGAUCUGUCAGUGGGGACGAAACUUGACGGUACCCACAGAGGAAGCACCGGCUAACUCCGUGCCAGCAGCCGCGGUAAUACGGAGGGUGCAAGCGUUGUCCGGAAUCAUUGGGCGUAAAGAGUUCGUAGGUGGCAUAUUAAGUCUGGUGUUAAAUGCAGAGGCUCAACUUCUGUUCGGCACUGGAUACUGGUAAGCUGGAAUGCGGUAGAGGUAAGGGGAAGUCCUGGUGGAGCGGUGAAAUGCGUAGAUAUCAGGAGGAACAUCGGUGGCGUAGGCGCUUUACUGGGCCGUAAUUGACGCUGAGGAACGAAAGCCGGGGUAGCAAAUAGGAUUAGAUACCCGAGUAGUC